GUCAGACUAACCAGGAGAAAAUACAACACAAAAUACAAUGUUACACGACAGUAAUAUCAGGACCAUCUACAGAUAUUAAAGGAAUUAUAAGGAAAUAUUAUGAACACCUUUAUCACAAUAAAGACAUAUAAUUUACCAAAGUUUACUCAAAAAGAAAUAGAUAAUCUGAAUAGUCCCAUAACUAUGAAAUGAAUUUAUUUUAUAGUUAAGAAUUUUCCCACAAAGAAAAAUUCUAAUGUGUGGUUGGCUUCUUGGGUGAAUUCCCCUAUAUGUAUAAGGGAGAAAUAAUUCUAAUUUUAUAUGAAUUCUGCCAGAUAAUUCUGCUGCCCUCAUCUUAAGACAAAGACAGUACAAGGGGGAAAACAAAAACAAAACAGUCCUAGAUCCAAAUGUCCCUCAUGAGCAUAGAUACAAUUCUAAACAAUAUCUGACCAAACCAAAAGUAGCAAUCCAUAAAGGGGACAGUGCCUCAUGACUAAGUGGGAUGAUCUCCGGAAUUCAUGGAAAGUUCAACUUUCAAAUACCAAUCAAUCUUACAUUACCAGGUCCAAAACACCAGAGUAUGAAGUAAGUCCCAUAGAGGUCAAAGACCUAUAUAUAACAUAGGUAAGAGAAAUUAAAGAAGACUUAAAUAAUUGGAGAGAAAAGCUGACUUCAUAGACUUGAAGACUCAAUAUUGUUAAGUGUCAAAUCUCAAAUUGAUGCAUACAAAUGCAUUGUAAUCCAAAUAGAAUUCCCAGCAGGCAUUUUUGUAGAAAUUGGCAAGCUAAUGCCAACAUUCAUAUAGGAAUGCAAAGGACCUAGAAUAGCUCAAGAAACUUUGAGGAAGAGAAAAGUUGGAAGGUGAACACUAUCUGACUUUAAAACUUAACAGUGACUCUACAGUAAUUAAAACAGUAUGGUAAUGACAUCAGCAAGGUCACAGAUUAAGGAGACCAGAAAUCUGUGCAUAUAAGGACACCUCAUUUGCAACUAAAGCAUAGGGCAGAUUAGUGAAGACAGAAAUUAAAAAUGUGCAAAAAUGGUGCUGAAACCAUUGGAUAGUCAGACUUUUUAAAAAAAUCCCUCCAUCAGUACAUUGCACCAUAUACCAAAUUAAGUGCAAAUGGAUCACAGACCCAAAUAUAAAACUUAAAUUGUAACUUUUAGGGAAAAAAAACUUCACAGGAAAACAAUAUUUGUAAACUUUAGUUAGACAAAGAUUUAUUAGAACAUAAAAACAAACUCCAUGUUUUUACUUUUUUAUUUUUUUUGGUACCAGGGAUUGAACUUGGGUCCUUCCACUUGCGAGACAGGCACCAGAACCACUGAGCUAAAUUCCCGGCCCUAGUUCAUGUUUUUAAAAGUGACAAAUUGGAAUUUAUAUGAAAAAUUUCUCAAGGAACUACAAGGGACUGAGAAGAUCGGGGAGAAGUAGAGGAGGAGGAUGGAAAAAAGGCUGGACGUGCUCAGUGCAUGGUGUGUGCAAGUAUGGGAUGAUCACAGCAAGUCCCACUCAUUUGUACGAUUAAUAUGUGUUGAUCAUUGUAAUAAAACAUUUACAUACAACACUAGAGACUAACCAGGAAGACCUGGAGCAGUGGUUCUCAACCUGGUUCAGGUGGGAGGAUCAUGAAUUUACAAUUUUUUAUUUUGAAAGUGAUAAGAUACUGAUAAAUAUUUUUAAUGAAAAACUUCUCUUUGAAAAUCAAUGUUAAGAGAAUGAAAAGACAACCCAGCACAUAAUAAACUAUAAAACUAUAGUUUUAACUAUAAAGCUAUAAUAAUACAAUGAAUUCUAAUGGCUAUAAUGCUAUUGCCAUUUUUUUUUCAGUACUGGAGAUUGAACCCAGAGCGUUCACACAGAGCUAUAUUCUCAGUCCUUUUUUAUUUUUUAUUUUGGGACAGGGUCACACUAAGUCCCUAAGUUGUCCAGACUGGGUUUGAACUUGCAGUCCUCUUGCCUCGGCCUCCCAGAGUGGUGGGAUUACAGGUGUACUAUACUGCACCCAGUUUGCUGUUGCAAAUUUUUUUUUUUUUUCUUGGUACCGGGGAUCGAACUCGGGUCCUUGCGCUUGCGCAGUGGACAGUGAAACCACUGAGCUAAAUCCCCGGCCCGCUGUUACAAAUUUUUACGAUGGAAAAGGUUUAAAGAGCCACUUCACCAAAGAAAAUAUAAUGGGCAGCAAGUAAGCACGUGGAAAGGUCUUCAGGAUCACAGUCCUUAGGCACCUUCCAGCUGAAAGCAGUGAGCUCACCCCACACACACACACCCGCUGGCGUCGCUGACCUUAAUCCAUGAUGAUGUGGAGAAGUGACCCUUGCCUGCUGCUGCUAGGAAGGUGUGGUCGUGCAGUUACUUUGGGAAACAGUGUGGCACAACAAAGAAACAUUGAACAUAUCCGCACUGUCUAACCCGACUUUCCACCCACAGGUGUUUACUUCAGAGAGCCACACUGAGACCUGCACAUGUGAGCUGGGCUGUGAGCUCCAGAGCCUGGAAACAACCCACAUGUCCAUCAGCAGAUCAUCUCCAAAUAACUCACAUCUGCGGGACUAGGGGUGUUGGAUUCCAAUACGAAGUUGAGAAGACACAAUUCAGCCCAUAACAGGCAGUAGAUGGGCCAUGAAUUAGUCAUCUUUCUGUUACCAUAACAAACUACCCGAGUUAACCAAUUUAUGAAGAGAGGAUUUAUUUUAGCUCACAGGUAUAGAUGCUGCAGUCCCAGAUUAGACAGAUCCAUUCUGGUGAGGACUGUGUGGUGGAGUAGUUCCUCACUUCAUGGUGGCUGAGAAGUGACAGAGGGGAAGAGAGACCAAGGUCCCACAGUCCCUUCUCAAGAGCAUGGCCCCAGGGACCUAAAACCUCCCAUAGGCUCCACCUCCUAAAGACCCCAUCACUUCCCAGCACCACCCCGCUGGACAUCAAGCCCCUAAUACCUAGGCCUUUGGGGAACAAUCUCGACUCUAAUUAUAGCAGGCCAUCAGCUGGUCAUUCUGGAGCUGAGCCACAGGUGCAGAGACCCGGUCAUUAAACCAUAUUCUGUGGUUUUACGGUAUAUGUCUGAUCGAAACAUGACAUUUGACAGCUCACUCCCGUGUGGCCUCCAUGCUCGUGUGGAAGCCACCCCAGCCUGUACCCUGGCUGAGCCACCAGGGAAGGGCCUUAUGGGGUACCCUCACUCACUGCUAUUGACCCGAGGGACACCACUUGGUCCCACACAGAAAAGCCUUUGCUCCCUUUAUAUGAUGUGUAAUCCAAACACCACACUUCCAGGAGACCCAGCAAUGAGGAUUCCAGGAAGGCUGCUCUUCCCACAUCUCUUGGAAGGGCUGCCGAGUGGGACCUACAACCAAAAUGUUCUCUGGUUCUGAUGUCAUUUAUUUCCAGAGGUGUUUACAGAACUCUAAAAAUAACUGCAGAGUAUGUUUUGAAAACUUCUCUAAAGUGCAGGAUGGACCUGUAAUUAUCUGGUUCUCACGAGCCGUUGCUCUCUCUGUGCAAUUAUGUGGUCGGUAGUCAUCAGAAAAUGACAGGUUUGUGCUCAGUGCCGUCAAGUUAUUAUCUAAAGCAGCAGUCCCCACCCCUCAGUGUGAAAAGCUACUAAAUCAAGCAAAAUAGUCAUCGGAUUCCUCUGCUUGUCAGAAGUGGAGCCAGGCUGCUAAACACCCAGAAUGUCAGCACUAAUGCUUCCUGUGACCCUCUGGGGCCUGGAUUUUUGGCCCUCUACUUACCUGACAAAGGCAAAACCGAAUCUCAGAGAACUUUCCAGUUCCUGCUGUGUCAUGACCAUUACAACAUCCUUGGGAAGAGAGCUACCUUCCUUUCUUUCUUUCUUUCUUUCUCUCUUUCUUUCUUUCUUUCUUUUCUUUUUCUGUCUCACAUUUUACUUUUAAAGAAACUGGAAGUUGAGUAGAGCAGGUGGCCAAAUGGUCAGGCAGAGUGGCAGGUCUGGAGACACCUGUGUGUGCUCACUUACGGCCUGGAGGGUGCAGGGUGGGUGCCUCCUCCCCACUUCAAUCACUUAUACCCCAACACACACCCUCUCAGGCCUGGCCCCUGGGAGAAUCUCACUGCGGCUCCUGACCUCAGUUCCAGAAGGCUCUCAGGUGUACGUGUGGACAGGGUGCCCAGGGGUUUCCCCAGCACUUGGCUGUGCCUUGGCAUGCAGGUGGUAGCCAACACUUUACCUGGAGAGGCCACUGAGUGAGGAAGCGCCUGCCUGCCUCUGCAGCCCCUCACCCUAGGAUGCUCACCAGCUGGGCUUGGUUGGGAAUGGACGAGGAGAGAGACCAGGGCCCAAAAAAAAGGCACUGUCCUAGUUCGUUUGUGGUGCUGUAACAAAAUAUCUGAGACUAGGUAAUUGAUAAAGGACAGAAAUUUUUUUCUUACAGUUUGGGGGUUGGAAGUCCAAGACUGAGGCACUAGCGUUGAUGCCUAGAAGGCUACUCUGCUUCCGAAGUGGCAUCUUGUUCCUGUCUUCACAUUGUGGGAGGGAGGAGAGCAAAACAGAUCUGAGUUAGUUCCCACAGCGCUUUGGUGUGGUCUAAUCCACUCACAAAGGUGUAGCCUUCAGUAUCUACUCAUUCCCAAAAGAUCCCACCUCUCAGCACCACCAAAAUUGGGCUUAGGUUUCAACACAUGAAUUUUGGAGGAGACACACUGAAACCACAGCAGACAGGCCACAAGUUUCUAAAUGCUGGAAUUCAUCCAAACCAACUAGGCCAAGCAGAACGAAAGUUCUACCUGCUCGAUAGCCUUGGACAUCUCAGCUUCAAUUUUUAGGUUUCCCAGUGCUGGCCUUUACCUGAGACUGGUUCUCCUGGAAAACACCUCUGGCUAAGAAGUGCCCACCAGCCCAUAUGACCUAGAGGAGCUUUGCUGUCUGCAUGUCUGUGAUGCCUGUUUACCGGUGACAAAGCCAAUAUUUUCCUUCUGAUAUAUCAGCAUUGUCUCAAGAAUGAUUUGCUGAGAUGAGAGCAGUUUGUCCCUCUGAAACUGGCAGGGAAAAUACUGCCUGUGAUUUGGACUGGCUGACAGGCUUCCCACCUGGAACGGCCUGCCACAGCAGCCUGAAGGAUGUCAUCAUCUUACCUGGUUGGUGUUUGUCUUUGAUAAGUUCAAAUCUGGCAAAAGGCAAAUCGGUGGAGGGGCUGGGAUGGAGCUGGCAGAUGACUCCUCCAGGGUCAGGUCAGCUGCCUCUCACUCCACCUUGUCCACAUGACUGUGGGACAGUGCCCAGAGCUAGGCACACACAUGGGUGUUCCUGAGUGCUGGGGCACUCUUGGGUCAGAUUGCCGGGGUAACUGGGCUUCUUGUGCCAUGUUAGUAUCUCCAAAUAAUUGCUUUUGGCAUAUAUGAGUCCUGGAUGAAGAGGCUAAAUUUUGCUUAAAAAGAAAAAAGUUUUCAUCACUAUAAUCUGUUGUAAACUGAGUGUGCAUUUAAAAAAAAUUGUUAAGCUUUUCACUACAGAUUUUCAGAGUGAUUUGUCGACAUGAAGCCAUUGCCAAGUGCUGUGGGGUCCAGGAGGAUGAACACAAGUUCAGAGAAAGACUCAGGAUGGCGAGUAGCCAGUCAGCAGCUUGUGGGAAAGGGCCCGGCAGAUGGGCUGGCAGGGACGUGCUGUAGCAGCUACCAUGAGCAGCAUCUGCAGAAUGGCUCUGCUUCCUGGUCCCCACUACAGGCUCCCCUUAGAACCUACUUUCAGAAGGAAAAUUAUUUCCGGGGAAGCCCUGGGGGAUAGGAUUCUGGGAGUCGAUUCAGCAUAGACUGAAUUGUAGGCAGAGCCCAUAUGCCCUGUCCCUUGUCAGAAAUGAGAGCUCACGGGGAGCAGCAGAACAGGAAACAGACACCCUCAAACAGGCCAGGGUUCCCAAGAGAGGGUGUGGCUAGGCCAGGAUGGGGUGAGACAACAGGGCUGUGAGGGGAGCAGGUGGAUGUGGCUUUCUGAUUGCUCUCAAGUUGACACCUACAGACAGCAAAUGGCGAUAGGGUCUUGUGGGAAGUUGGAUUUGGCCAAACCCCAGCACCUAAAUAAUUCCAUGGACCUUGCCUCAGAGGAUAACUGAUAAAUAAUGGGAAUAUUUUGCUAGAUGUUUUCUUUGAAAAAUGUGAACUUUGUUCAUUACAACAUUGUUUCCGGAUAGGAGGCCAGGCACAUGUUGUGCUACCUUACUCAACAUCAAAUCUAGAGAAAAGUAUAAUAAUGAAAUAAUUCAGUCUCUUAUCCAUGGAGAAUACAUUCAAGACCCCUAGUUGAUGUCAGAAACCAGAUAGUGUCAAACUCUACAUAUACUAUUUUUUUCCUGUACCUAUGAAAAAGUUUAAUUUAUAAAUUAGGCAGAGUAAGAAACAACUGACAAUAAAAAGAACAAUCAUAAAAGUAAAUUGUAAUUGACGUUUGAAUUUCGGGGCCAUUAUUGGGAUUACUUGAACAUAAGCAUCGAAGCACUACAAACAGCUGAUGUGAGGACACACAUGGCUACUGAGCAACUACUAGGCAGGUAGUGUAUGGAUGAGCCAGGCAAAAGGACAUGACUCCCCUCCCUAGUGGGGUGACAUUUCAUCACACUGCCAGGAUUGCACACAAUUAAAAACUUAUGAACUGUUUAUUUCUGGAGUUGUCUAUUUAAUAUUUCCUGACUGCAGCUGGCCACGGGCAACUGAAGUGAAACCAUGGAUAAGUAGAAGGGCAGCUGCACAAAGCCCAAUUCAGAGCCACAUGGAGGGCGGUUGUGGAUGAUAUGAGGCCCCAAAAGAUGGAGAAGAGACUCAAAGUUUCCGAGGGAAGUUGCAGAAGAUGGUCCCUGGAAAGGUGCCCUGUGCGUAGAAAGGAUAUCUGUUUGGGGAGAAGGUACUGAGCUGGGGGAGAGGUUCAGGAGUGGCCCACCUGUGACGGCCCCAUCUCUCACCUCCUGGGGGUGAGCGGGUGGCUGUCUACAGGGGAGGAAAAGGGCAGGGGACAGUCAUUCCAGGACACGGGCUCCAGGGCAGCCCAGCUUCCCCACUUUCUCUGAGAACAGUGAGUGGUGGCAGUGUUCACGUCCCCAAACUCAGAGACACACGUCUGACCUGUGAGGACACCGACACAGAAGAGAGAGGCCCAUAGGAGAACUCACAUCAGAGGAGAUCGAGUUAAUGGAGCAGCAAGACCAGAUGUGAAAGCAGAUGUAUUUAAAAUUCUCUGAGAGAAAAACAGGCAGCUACAAAACAAAAUGUGGCUAUGAGAAGAAGUCAAGUGAGAGAUGUCAGGAAAACAUUUAAAAAUAUAUAACUCUUAGAAUUUAAAAAUAACUUUAUGAAAAAUUCAAAUAAGCCAAAAAAGUAAAAGAUUCUACAAAAUGAGAUAAAUACUGUUAUAAUUUUAGUAAAUUUUCUUCCAGAUACAUACACACAGUAUACUUUCUAACAAAAAAUCAUACUUACACAUAUUUUAUAUGUAAUAUAUAUCAUACAUAUGUAUUUUAUUCUACCAGACAUAUUUAUGAUAUAUAUCCAGAAAGAAGUUGUUGGUGAUAAAACUGGAAGAAAUCAUGGUAUGAAAGUUUAUAUGUGACCAAGAAAGAGAAUAGCAAAUGUUGUCAGCUCCUAGACUCCAGAAAACUAAUUCCAAAAGUUUCACAGAAAAAGCCUAACUAAAUUGAUGCCUUGAGAGAGUGGGUAAGUACUCAAAAAAUAAAUUCUGACUGUGUUAUCACUAUUUCAGUACAGAAUAAAUAGAUGCCAUAGAUCUCUCCCUCCCCCCUUCUCCAUCUCUCCCCUAAGGAUAGAAGAAGGGCUUCUCUGCAUGCUAACCAACUACUCUACUACUAAAGUACAGCCUCAGCCAUAAAGAAGGUAAAUGAUAAGGAAAUCCUGAGGAUAAGGCAAAGAUCAACCAAAGUCCAUCCAAGAAGCAGGGGCCAAGCUGAGGUGGAAGACAUGGGGAGGAAGAUUUUCUUAAUAUUAGAGAAGGG
RNAcentral lists this long non-coding RNA (7935 nucleotides) under Heterocephalus glaber (naked mole-rat). RNAcentral describes it as "lncRNA (ENSHGLG00100041567.1)". The record is from RNAcentral. Lineage: Eukaryota; Metazoa; Chordata; Mammalia; Rodentia; Bathyergidae.